This 30-nucleotide non-coding RNA is filed under the name Mus musculus (house mouse). Lineage: Eukaryota; Metazoa; Chordata; Mammalia; Rodentia; Muridae. The record is from RNAcentral.
UUCAUAGAAAAUAUUGUUUUCUCAGCUUGC